GAUGAAGAACGCAGCGAAAUGCGAUAAGUAAUGUGAAUUGCAGAAUUCAGUGAAUCAUCGAAUCUUUGAACGCACAUUGCGCCCUCUGGUAUUCCGGGGGGCAUGCCUGUUCGAGCGUCAUUAUAACCACUCAAGCUCUCGCUUGGUAUUGGGGUUCGCGGUUUCGCGGCCCCUAAAAUCAGUGGCGGUGCCUGUCGGCUCUACGCGUAGUAAUACUUCUCGCGAUUGAGUUCGAUAGGUCUACUUGCCAGUAACCCCCAAUUUUUACAGGUUGACCUCGGAUCAGGUAGGGAUACCCGCUGAACUUAAGCAUAUCAAUAGCGGAGGA
RNAcentral lists this unclassified non-coding RNA (328 nucleotides) under soil metagenome. RNAcentral describes it as "partial contains 5.8S ribosomal RNA, internal transcribed spacer 2, and large subunit ribosomal RNA". The stretch from base 1 to 120 matches the Rfam family "5.8S ribosomal RNA", at positions 35 to 154 of the family's 154-position model. The record is from RNAcentral.